Long non-coding RNA from Oncorhynchus tshawytscha (Chinook salmon), 949 nucleotides. The record is from Ensembl. Lineage: Eukaryota; Metazoa; Chordata; Actinopteri; Salmoniformes; Salmonidae.
ACGACGACCACCGAGCGCCACCCGACCAGGAAGGGAAGCCACCCUCGGUCGGACUCGUGACAGCCACAUUGUAACGAUUGUCAUCGGGAGAAUGAGAAGAGGACCAAAGUGUAGCGUGACGGCAGGUUGUAUCUAAUGAAGUCCGGGACAUCGUCGUUGACCAUGUGGUAAGAGGCUGACAGAUUAGUUCACACCAAUCUGAAAAGAUCAACUGUCAAUUCGAUCAUGAGAAAAUUUCGCCAAGAAAACUGAAUUGACAGGAGAACACAUGGUGGUGGCCGUGUGCUGACCGACCAGCAGGACUGGACAGUGGUGGAAAUGAGGAUGAUGGCGCUUGAUGCUGCUGUGAACCAUCACAAGUAUAUCUUUGUUGAUGAAGUGGGCUUCAACCUGGCCAAAACUCGGCACCUUGGGCGGAUCCUCAUCGGCCAACGGGCGACUGUCCAAGUGCCUGUAAAACGUGGGGGAAACAUCUCUAUGCGCGCAGCCUUCUCUGAAGAUGGUGUGGUAGGCCAUUACUUGGACCAUACAAUGCUGCACACCUCAUUGUGUUUCUCAAUAAAAUUGAGCAGGCAGGCAAGGUGAAGGGGUCACCUAUGUCAUUGUGCUCGACAAUGUCAGGUUACACCAUGCUGAAUUGGUUCAGGCUGUUGGGCCCAUCCCCGAUUCAUGACCCUAUACCAGCCCGCAUACUCUCCUUUCCUCAAACCUAUUGAGUAUUUUGUUUUAGUAUGGAGGUGGAAGGUGUACGAUCGACAUCCCCGUGAGCAUGCCACCCUCCUUCUGGCCAUGGAUGAGACAUGCAACGAUAUUAAUGCAGACCAAUGUCAGGCUUGGAUUCGCCAUACAAGAAGGUUUUUCCCACGGUGCAUGAACAAUGACAUUCACUGUGAUAUGGAUGAGAAUUUAUGGCCAAAUGCUCACAGUCUUAAUGCAAAUUAAUGCGUGC